Molecule: ribosomal RNA, 253 nt
Filed under: uncultured bacterium
Lineage: Bacteria
Description: partial 16S ribosomal RNA
Rfam family: Bacterial small subunit ribosomal RNA
Source: RNAcentral
UACAGAGGUCUCAAGCGUUGUUCGGAUUCAUUGGGCGUAAAGGGCUCGUAGGUGGCCAACUAAGUCAGACGUGAAAUCCCUCGGCUUAACCGGGGAACUGCGUCUGAUACUGGAUGGCUUGAGUUCGGGAGAGGGAUGCGGAAUUCCAGGUGUAGCGGUGAAAUGCGUAGAUAUCUGGAGGAACACCGGUGGCGAAGGCGGCAUCCUGGACCGACACUGACGCUGAGGAGCGAAAGCCAGGGGAGCAAACGGG